RNAcentral lists this ribosomal RNA (502 nucleotides) under uncultured bacterium. RNAcentral describes it as "partial 16S ribosomal RNA". It matches the Rfam family "Bacterial small subunit ribosomal RNA", at positions 28 to 523 of the family's 1533-position model. The record is from RNAcentral.
GAUGAACGCUAGCGGCAGGCCUAACACAUGCAAGUCGAGGGGCAGCACAGAAACAGCAAUGUUUUGGUGGCGACCGGCGGACGGGUGCGUAACGCGUAUGCAACCUACCUUUAACAGGGGGAUAACGGAGAGAAAUUUCCACUAAUACCCCAUAACAUCGAUCAAGGCAUCUUGAUUGGUUGAAAACUCCGGUUGUUAAAGAUGGGCAUGCGUUGUAUUAGGUAGUUGGUGAGGGAAUGGCUCACCAAGCCUACGAUACAUAGGGGGACUGAGAGGUUAGCCCCCCACACUGGAACUGAGACACGAACCAGACUCCUACGGGAGGCAGCAGUGAGGAAUAUUGGUCAAUGGGGGCAACCCUGAACCAGCCAAGCCGCGUGCAGGAAGACGGCUCUAUGAGUUGUAAACUGCUUUUAAACAGGGAUAAAGCACAGUAUGUAUACUGUGUUGAAGGUACUGUAAGAAUAAGGAUCGGCUAACUCCGUGCCAGCCGCCGCCGUAA